RNAcentral lists this ribosomal RNA (278 nucleotides) under uncultured Staphylococcus sp. Its description in RNAcentral is "partial 16S ribosomal RNA". It matches the Rfam family "Bacterial small subunit ribosomal RNA", at positions 83 to 355 of the family's 1533-position model. Lineage: Bacteria; Bacillati; Bacillota; Bacilli; Caryophanales; Staphylococcaceae. The record is from RNAcentral.
CCUUUGACGUUAGCGGCGGACGGGUGAGUAACACGUGGGUAACCUACCUAUAAGACUGGGAUAACUUCGGGAAACCGGAGCUAAUACCGGAUAAUAUUUCAACCGCAUGGUUCGAUAGUGAAAGAUGGUUUUGCUAUCACUUAUAGAUGGACCCGCGCCGUAUUAGCUAGUUGGUAAGGUAACGGCUUACCAAGGCUACGAUACGUAGCCGACCUGAGAGGGUGAUCGGCCACACUGGAACUGAGACACGGUCCAGACUCCUACGGGAGGCAGCAGCC